This 254-nucleotide ribosomal RNA is filed under the name uncultured bacterium. RNAcentral describes it as "partial 16S ribosomal RNA". It matches the Rfam family "Bacterial small subunit ribosomal RNA", at positions 524 to 776 of the family's 1533-position model. The record is from RNAcentral.
CACGUAGGGUGCUAGCGUUGUCCGGAAUUAUUGGGCGUAAAGAGCUCGUAGGCGGUGUGUCGCGUCGGCCGUGAAAACCUGCAGCUUAACUGUGGGCUUGCGGUCGAUACGGGCAUCACUGGAGUUCGGCAGGGGAGACUGGAAUUCCUGGUGUAGCGGUGAAAUGCGCAGAUAUCAGGAGGAACACCGGUGGCGAAGGCGGGUCUCUGGGCCGAUACUGACGCUGAGGAGCGAAAGCGUGGGGAGCGAACAGG